GAUCAAUGGUAGAAAAGAGAUGGAUGGAUAAAUCAUCUGGCCUGCUGAGUGGUGCCUCCUUUAGGGGUCAGAACAGUGGAUCAUCUGCCUCCAUCCAGACCAACUGUCUGCAUGUCCUCCUUCACUACAACCACGAAUCUUCUCUGAGGUCUUCCUCUGCACGUGUCCGAACCAUCUCAACCUUGCCACUCAUUCUUUUUCAACUUGAGCUGGACCUCUGAUGUUCUCAUUUCUAAUCUUGUUCAUCCUGGUCACUCCCAAAGAAAAUCUUAACAUUAUCAGCUCCAUUUCCUCCUAGAACAUUACAGCUUUCACCGGAUUACCAUGCUUCAACUAGGCAUUAAUAGCAGAGCCAGCUGUAACUGAUCAGUGUCCAUCAGGCCUCACCUGACUGCUAACCAGUGAGCGUUUGUGCCCUUGCUAACUUUGAAGUAUUUUAAUGGAACGAGCUGGGAAAUAAUAUGAGCUGGUGAACAAGCCAUCUAAAACCUUUAUGCUUCGGUUUUGCAACAACUACAAUCAAGCAUUUGCAAGACUGGCAAUGAGUCUCUCACAGCACUAUGGUGGAAUUAUGGCCCACUCAUCUGUGCAGAUUUGUAUUAAUUUGGCCACACUGGAGCGUUUUUAAGCAUAAACCACCUUUUUAAUGUCAUGUCACAGUAUGUCAAUCGGAUUCGGGUCAGGACUUUCACUAGGCAACUCUGAAGUCUUCAUUUUGAUUUUUCUUAAGCCAUUCAGAAAUGGACUUACUGAUGUGUUUUGGAUCACUGUCCUGCUGCAGAACCCAAGUGUGCUUCAGCUUGAGGUCACGAACGGAUGGCUGGACAUUGUCCUUCCGAAUGUUUUGGUCGACUGCAGAAUUCAUCGUUUCAUUUACAACAGCAAGUCUUCCAGGUGUUCAAACAGCAAAACUGGGACCGGCUGUUCCUUUUGCUCAGCAGUGGUUUUCCUCUUGUAACUCUGCCAUGCAGGCCAUUUUU
Molecule: long non-coding RNA, 980 nt
Organism: Oreochromis aureus
Lineage: Eukaryota; Metazoa; Chordata; Actinopteri; Cichliformes; Cichlidae
Source: Ensembl